Long non-coding RNA from Triplophysa dalaica, 711 nucleotides. RefSeq lists it as uncharacterized. The record is from RefSeq and is a predicted model, not a curated record. Lineage: Eukaryota; Metazoa; Chordata; Actinopteri; Cypriniformes; Nemacheilidae. The transcript has 3 exons.
CGCGUGCGCUGAGAUAACACAGUGAUUAUUCACUUUGCGAGCGCUCCUUUAUCUACUGGCCUGAUUUUCGUUGAGAUAAAUAUCUCUGUGAGUGAUGGCAGAUUUCGUUUGCUGUAUGUCUAUAACAGGUGCUCUGUUUUAUGUGGAUGUCCAGUGACCUGCUGAUUCCUACUCGUCUGUUGGCAGUCGGCAGGAAAUAGCUGCACGAAUCUCUAUAGCAACCUGUACUUAAAGUACAGUUACAGGAAGGCAACCGAAAUCAGAGUGACAAAGAACUGUCGGGCAAGGCAACAAAGGGUGCGCACGUGGGACGCUGCCAGCUGUUCUAUUCUGUUGGAUCUGUGUCUGACACAGGGCCUGCACAGAAUCAGAUAAGAUCCUGGAGACCGUAAGAAUGGACCGCAGAACCCCUCUGAGCCACUCUGUGGCAACAAUACACCACACUCACCACUGCCUGGGCAUCAUUUACAUGUGAAAACAACACAACGUCUUAUCUUAAGUAUACUGAAACUGAGGCAGAAGGACUCAAUUUGCGUGUGUGUGGCUUAACAGGUAGACCUGCAAUAACAGACUUUUAGUUAAUAAAGCAAAACAUUUUUAAUGUUGAAAUGAUAUAUAUAUAAGUUUUGUUUAAUAUAUAUUUUUGUAAGAAUAUAUGCAACAAAGUUAAGCUUAGAGGUCUCAUAAUUUGUCACCAUUGUAAGCUUUCAC